This 497-nucleotide ribosomal RNA is filed under the name uncultured bacterium. RNAcentral's name for it is "partial 16S ribosomal RNA". It matches the Rfam family "Bacterial small subunit ribosomal RNA", at positions 28 to 507 of the family's 1533-position model. The record is from RNAcentral.
GAUGAACGCUGGCGGCGUGCCUAAUACAUGCAAGUCGAGCGAACAGACGAGGAGCUUGCUCCUCUGACGUUGGCGGCGGACGGGUGAGUAGCACGUGGAUAACCUACCUAUAAGACUGGGAUAACUUCGGGAAACCGGAGCUAAUACCGGAUAAUAUAUUGAACCGCAUGGUUCAAUAGUGAAAGACGGUUUUGCUGUCACUUAUAGAUGGAUCCGCGCCGCAUUAGCUAGUUGGUAAGGUAACGGCUUACCAAGGCAACGAUGCGUAGCCGACCUGAGAGGGUGAUCGGCCACACUGGAACUGAGACAUGGUCCAGACUCCUACGGGAGGCAGCAGUAGGGAAUCUUCCGCAAUGGGCGAAAGCCUGACGGAGCAACGCCGCGUGAGUGAUGAAGGUCUUCGGAUCGUAAAACUCUGUUAUUAGGGAAGAACAAAUGUGUAAGUAACUAUGCACGUCUUGACGGUACCUAAUCAGAAAGCCACGGCUAACUACGUG